RNAcentral lists this ribosomal RNA (496 nucleotides) under uncultured bacterium. RNAcentral's name for it is "partial 16S ribosomal RNA". It matches the Rfam family "Bacterial small subunit ribosomal RNA", at positions 30 to 523 of the family's 1533-position model. The record is from RNAcentral.
AUUGAACGCUGGCGGAAUGCUUUACACAUGCAAGUCGAACGGUAGAGGGGGCAACCCCUCGAGAGUGGCGAACGGGUGAGUAAUAUAUCGGAACGUGCCCAGUCGUGGGGGUUAACGUAGCGAAAGUUACGCUAAUACCGCAUACGAUCUACGGAUGAAAGCGGGGGAUCGCAAGACCUCGCGCGAUUGGAGCGGCCGAUAUCAGAUUAGGUAGUUGGUGGGGUAAAGGCUCACCAAGCCAACGAUCUGUAGCUGGUCUGAGAGGACGACCAGCCACACUGGGACUGAGACACGGUCCAGACUCCUACGGGAGGCAGCAGUGGGGAAUUUUGGACAAUGGACGCAAGUCUGAUCCAGCCAUUCCGCGUGCAGGAUGAAGGCCCUCGGGUUGUAAACUGCUUUUGUACGGAACGAAAAGGUUUCCAAUAAUACUGGGAGCUCAUGACGGUACCGUAAGAAUAAGCACCGGCUAACUACGUGCCAGCCGCCGCCGUAA